CUCUUAUCAAGAGUGGUGGAGGGAACUGGCCCAGUGAAACCCGGCAACCUGUAUAAACAAGGUGCUAAAUCCAGCGGUAUUAAUCUUUAUACCGAGAGAUAAGAA
RNAcentral lists this non-coding RNA (105 nucleotides) under Schnuerera ultunensis. Its description in RNAcentral is "Clostridium ultunense SAM-I sequence". It matches the Rfam family "SAM riboswitch aptamer (S box leader)". Rfam says of the family: The SAM riboswitch is found upstream of a number of genes which code for proteins involved in methionine or cysteine biosynthesis in Gram-positive bacteria. The SAM riboswitch acts at the level of transcription termination control. The predicted structure consists of a complex stem-loop region followed by a single stem loop terminator region. RNAcentral also lists the same sequence under 1 other name. The record is from RNAcentral. Lineage: Bacteria; Bacillati; Bacillota; Tissierellia; Tissierellales; Tepidimicrobiaceae.